Drosophila virilis is the source of this 525-nucleotide non-coding RNA. NCBI's taxonomy places the organism in Eukaryota, Metazoa, Arthropoda, Insecta, Diptera, Drosophilidae. The record is from RefSeq and is a predicted model, not a curated record.
CUCGAAUUAUGUAUAGAGUAGGCUAAUUUGCGAGCAUUUUUUAUUUUCUCUGCCGAAAUCCAUUAAUAGGCUUAAGUUGUCGCGAUGUUUUCAAAGCUAAACAUAAGCAAAGAUCACGCCUGUUCUACCCUUUUGUCUAAUUGUUGGCCAUAAAUAAAAGGCGACGAGAACUCGUGUCGACAAGCCCACAGUUCUGGGCCGUCGAUUGCGUGGAAGUGCGCCAAUUUGAGAGCUCUAUAAAAUACGCCUCAACUACGGCACAUGCUGUCUAUCUCGGAAGUGAGAAUGUGUACAAAGCAUAGAAAGUUGGCGUUUGCUCCAGAGAACUCAGCCACAAAGUGGAACAAAGGGGCCGAGCAGAGAGACGGACGCGAUUUCUGAAGGUCACACAAGCAAUUCGAUUGCGUGCCAAGCAUAAAUUGAUCGGCUAAUAUAGCGUUACGAAAAGUCGUUGAACUUUCGUGUGAUGUCUUGCAGCAUGUAAUGUAAAUAUUGUUAUAACUUAAAAUAGAGCUGGAAAUAAUA